Molecule: long non-coding RNA, 559 nt
Organism: Canis lupus familiaris (dog)
Lineage: Eukaryota; Metazoa; Chordata; Mammalia; Carnivora; Canidae
Exons: 3
Source: RefSeq, a predicted model, not a curated record
ACUGUACAUCUUUGUUCCAGGAGCUUGCUUGAUUCCCUGUUUCUCUUUUGUUUCUCUCUUCAAGAUUCAGGUCCUGUUGGGCUGUUUCCUUCUAUUUUUUAUUUUAUUUUAUUUUAUUUUAUUUUAUUUUAUUUUAUUUUAUUUAUUUGGCUGUUUCCUUUUUAAAAGAAUGCACUCUACCUGGUGCUCUCCUGGAAUCUCUGGGUUUGCGGUCAUGGAAGGGACUAUUUUGGAGGCAGGCAACAGGGUAGAACCAGCUAUAUUACCAGCCAGCAAAUCUCCACUGUGCCUAAUGGACUCUUUCCUCUCCUGGGAUAGUGCUUACCUGCACCAACCUCAGAUGGGUUUGGAAGAAGAGCCUGCUGCCCACUAUGUCUGAAAAGGGACAGUGGCGGGAGAGGUCACUGGGAAUCAGUGGAAGAGGAGCUGGUCCAGGAGCAGAGACCAUGUCCUAAUCAUCUUCAUAUAUUCUGCAGCACAUGGCAAAGGGCUCACACAUGAAAAAAAGAAAAUUCGGGAUCCCUGGGUGGCGCAGCGGUUUGGCGCCUGCCUUUGGCCC